RNAcentral lists this unclassified non-coding RNA (329 nucleotides) under soil metagenome. RNAcentral's name for it is "partial contains 5.8S ribosomal RNA, internal transcribed spacer 2, and large subunit ribosomal RNA". The stretch from base 1 to 120 matches the Rfam family "5.8S ribosomal RNA", at positions 35 to 154 of the family's 154-position model. The record is from RNAcentral.
GAUGAAGAACGCAGCGAAAUGCGAUAAGUAGUGUGAAUUGCAGAAUUCAGUGAAUCAUCGAAUCUUUGAACGCACAUUGCGCCCCUUGGUAUCCCGAGGGGCAUGCCUGUUCGAGCGUCAUUUCACCACUCAAGCCUGGCUUGGUGUUGGGCGACGUCCCCUUUGGGGACGCGCCUCGAAACGCUCGGCGGCGUGGCACCGGCUUUAAGCGUAGCAGAAUCUUUCGCUUUGGAAGUCGGGGCCCCGUCUGCCGGAAGACCUACUCGCAAGGUUGACCUCGGAUCAGGCAGGGAUACCCGCUGAACUUAAGCAUGUCAAUAAGCGGAGGA